UACGUAGAAGACUAGUGUUAUUCAUCUUUAAUAGGUUUAAAGGGUACCUAGACGGUAUAAUUAGUCUUUAACAGGAAACGGUUAUACUAGAGUUAUAUAUGAGGAGGCGAGUAUUUGUGGAGUAGAGUUGAAAUUCUUUGAUACCAUGAAGACUGGUAAAAGGCUGAAAGCAACCUUUAAUCUAAUAACUGACGUUGAGGGACGAAGGCUACGGGUCG
RNAcentral lists this ribosomal RNA (218 nucleotides) under uncultured bacterium. RNAcentral's name for it is "partial 16S ribosomal RNA". It matches the Rfam family "Bacterial small subunit ribosomal RNA", at positions 524 to 769 of the family's 1533-position model. The record is from RNAcentral.